CCAGUGGACCCAAUGGGGCUACUCUAACUAGGACUAGAACAAGAUUCAGGCCUUGGGUUGGAUCUACAUUGUUAUAUGAUGCUGCUGUGGAAGUGCAUUAUGUAGUCAGUGUAAACCCAUAUAAUGCAGUUGUUGACAUGUAAUGAUUUGUUAGACACCUUGAGUCCCUAUGGAGAGAAAGGCAGGAUAGAACUGAAGAUGGUGAUAACAACAGCAGCAGCAACAACAACAACAACAACAACAAAUAAAAGUAAAACAAGCAGUCAAAGAAGAAGAACAUGCCCUGGCAGAAUAUGUAAAGCAAAGUGAAGAACUUGCUUUGAUUGAAGUCAAAAAUCAGAAACUCCUCAAAGCACAGCAGACAAAGAAUCAGUACAAGAAAACCGCACUACAAACUAGAGCUGACAGCUGGCACAACAAAACAUUGCAUGGAAAGUUCCUUGACAAAAUUGAAGGAAAAGCUGAUAAGACUGGCUCUGUCUCACGAAUGGGACCCUGAAGAAGGAGACAGAAUGCCUGAUCCUUGCAGCCCAGGAGCAAGCCAUCAGGACAAAGGCAAUUCAAGCCAAGAUCGAAAAAUCAGCUGAUGACCCAAAAUGCAGAAUGUGCAAGGAAGCUGACGAAACCAUUGACCAUCUCCUCAGCUGCUGUAAGAAAAUCGCACAGACAGACUACAAACAGAGGCACAACUAUGUGGCCCAAAUGAUCCGUUGGAACUUAUGCCUCAAGUACCACCUCCCAGCAGUAAAGAGCUGGUGGGAUCACAAACCAGCAAAGAUAAUGGAAAAUGAGCACGCAAAGAUACUGUGGGACUUCCGAAUCCAGACUGACAAAGUUCUGGAACACAACUGUGAUGUCUGGUGUGUUGUGUUCCAGAACUUUGUCAGUCUGGAUUCGGAAGUCCCACAGUAUCUUUGCGUGCUCAUUUUCUAAUACUUUUGCAGGUUUGUGAUCCCACCAGUUAUAUUAUUAUUAUUAUUAUUAUUAUUAUUAUUAUUAUUAUUAUUAUUAUUAUUAUUAUUCUA
RNAcentral lists this long non-coding RNA (1025 nucleotides) under Anolis carolinensis (green anole). RNAcentral's name for it is "lncRNA (ENSACAG00000038650.1)". The record is from RNAcentral. Lineage: Eukaryota; Metazoa; Chordata; Lepidosauria; Squamata; Anolidae.